Molecule: RNA transcript, 797 nt
Organism: Zea mays
Lineage: Eukaryota; Viridiplantae; Streptophyta; Magnoliopsida; Poales; Poaceae
Gene name: protein ZINC INDUCED FACILITATOR-LIKE 1-like
Exons: 6
Source: RefSeq, a predicted model, not a curated record
GGACUUGAAAGUGGCGACUGGCGAAAGAGGAGCAAGACAUUGGGUUUUAUGCUGGUUUUGUUGGGGCUACCUAUUUCCUUGGAAGGGCCAUCAGCGCCGUGCCAUGGGGCAUGUUCGCUGACAAGAAUGGAAGGAAGCCAGGCAUUGUGAUCAGCAUCCUCUCAGUGAUUGUGUUCAACACACUGUUUGGACUUAGCACAACUUACUGGAUGGCAAUUGUGACUAGGGGAUUACUUGGGUUGCUAUGUGGUAUACUUGGACCCAUCAAGGCUUAUGCUUCAGAAGUCUGCAGGAAAGAGCACCAAGCUUUGGGAAUCUCUCUUGUUACAUCUUCACGAGCCAUAGCUCUUGUUAUUGGGCCUGCUAUUGGAGGCUUCCUUGCACAGGUGAAGAUUAUGGAAUUUAGAUAGCAGUAUAAGUUAAAUUCGAAAUGCUAAUGAGUGCCUUCAUCAUGUAUCCCUUAAUCAUAACUGACCUCUGAUGUGUAAAAAAAGGGAUAGUGGCCGACAAAAAUAUUUCUAGCAUCAGGAAGGUAAAUUAUUUCUAGUAGUACAAUUUCUAGCAUUUAACUAUUUCAUUGUUUUUAGACGACUAUUAUAAACCUUCAAAAAUUAUGCAUCUAAUUUUCAGGUUUCCAUACUUCCUUCCUUGCUUUGUAAUAUCGUUGCUAGCAGCAGGAUCAUGUAUUGCAUGCAUUUGGCUUCCGAUAGAAUUGGCAAUAUACCUAUUUUCCUACACAUCCAAUGGGGCCUUGGGGACACCCUCCAUGGCCAACACAGCCACUUCCAUCACCAGCG